Molecule: ribosomal RNA, 280 nt
Filed under: uncultured bacterium
Lineage: Bacteria
Description: partial 16S ribosomal RNA
Rfam family: Bacterial small subunit ribosomal RNA
Source: RNAcentral
UGCCAGCCGCCGCGGUAACACGUAGGGGGCGAGCGUUGUCCGGAAUUAUUGGGCGUAAAGAGCUCGUAGGCGGUUCGGUAAGUCAGGUGUGAAAACUCAAGGCUCAACCUUGAGACGCCACCUGAUACUGCCGUGACUUGAGUCCGGUAGAGGAGCGUGGAAUUCCUGGUGUAGCGGUGAAAUGCGCAGAUAUCAGGAGGGACACCAACGGCGAAGGCAGCGCUCUGGGCCGGUACUGACGCUGAGGAGCGAAAGCGUGGGGAGCAAACAGGAUUAGAUA